This 60-nucleotide transfer RNA is filed under the name Lepisorus microphyllus. Its description in RNAcentral is "Lemmaphyllum carnosum var. microphyllum partial tRNA-Leu". Lineage: Eukaryota; Viridiplantae; Streptophyta; Polypodiopsida; Polypodiales; Polypodiaceae. RNAcentral also lists the same sequence under 5 other names. The record is from RNAcentral.
AACGAAAAUCCGUUGGUUUCACGGGACCGUGAGGGUUCGAAUCCCUCUAUCCCCAGCAAG